Spea bombifrons (plains spadefoot toad) is the source of this 424-nucleotide long non-coding RNA. RefSeq lists it as uncharacterized. Lineage: Eukaryota; Metazoa; Chordata; Amphibia; Anura; Pelobatidae. The record is from RefSeq and is a predicted model, not a curated record. The transcript is spliced from 3 exons.
GAGCAGUUCAACAAGUGAAGAAAGGCUUUAUUGGAAAGCAUCCAAAACACUGUCUCCCGACCUCCUUGAGUAUUCGGGAAACUAUGCAGGGAGACUCUAAGGAGAAGCUCGUGGGAAGGAAAAGGCCUGCAGGGACUGCAGUGUACAGACCUGGGGUGGUAACUCUAUCUGCCCCUGGCUGUAUGUUCAGGUUUGUUGACUAUAAAUAUACCAACUAUUCUGACCACGUAGAUGGAAGAUCUUCUCCUGCGUCAUCUCUCUCAUCAUCAAGUCUGAAGAAACAAAUACAAUCACAAGGAAAAUCCUGAAACGAUCCGUAACGAGGAGUUUGGGGAUAAAAGUGCCGCCACUCGCAGCCAAGGAACCCCAAUCUCUGGUGGAUAAAGUGUUUAGUGAGCAAAAUAGAAACAUUCAGAGAAAUUUG